GGUGGCGGAUAUGCACUACGGGAAUGGGAUGGUGACUCGGUGUAGAGAUGUAUUGGAGAGUGAGUUCAAUUACUGUUCCGACCUCAACACUACUCAGUUCUUGAGGAAAAUGAUUGAAAUUGAAAAGCCAGACUUGAUUGUAUUUACUGGUAAUAAGUUUAACUUUUCCCUUCUGUUAAUAAUCAGAGUUCAGAACUAAGUCAAGUAUGUAUUUCUUAUUGUUCUUUCCUUUUCGGAACCAUCGGAAACUGUAACCUUUAUGUAUUGCCUUGACAUUAUCUGAAGUAAGAAAAACACUUUCCUUUUCGGGGUCUUCUUGAGGAAAAUGAUUGAGAUUGAAAAGCCAGACUUGAUUGUAUUUACUGGUAAUAAGUUUAACUUUUCCCUUCUUUUAAUAAUCAGAGUUCAGAACUAAAUCAAGUAUGUAUUUCUUAUUGUUCUUUCCUUUUCGGAACCAUCGGAAACUGUAACCUUUAUGUAUUGCCUUGACAUUAUCUGAAGUAAGAAAAACACUUUCCUUUUCGGGGUGACAGUUGGCAGAAGUUCUAAUUUAAGAUCAAUUUUCAGUAACUGCUUCCUGCCUUUCCCAAAAUGGUAUAAUAGAGAUUCAGAAUAUGCUAAAUCUAGCUACCUAAGU
RNAcentral lists this long non-coding RNA (637 nucleotides) under Nicotiana benthamiana. Its description in RNAcentral is "long non-coding RNA (NBEN_LNC035894)". The record is from RNAcentral. Lineage: Eukaryota; Viridiplantae; Streptophyta; Magnoliopsida; Solanales; Solanaceae.